AAUCAACGCUGGCGGCGUGCCUCAGACAUGCAAGUCGAACGCGAAAGUUCCCUUCGGGGGAUGAGUAGAGUGGCGCACGGGUGAGUAACACGUAGGUAAUCUACCUUUGGAUGGGGAAUAACAACCGGAAACGGUUGCUAAUACCGCAUAAUGCAGCGGCACCUAAUGGUGACAGUUGUUAAAGCGGGGGAUCGGAAGACCUCGCGUCUGAAGAGGAGCCUGCGGCGGAUUAGCAGUUGGUAAGGUAACGGCUUACCAAGGCGACGAUCCGUAGCCGGCCUGAGAGGGCGGUCGGCCACACUGACACUGACAUACGGGUCAGACUCCUACGGGAGGCAGCAGUCGGGAAUUUGGGCAAUGGGCGAAAGCCUGACCCAGCAACGCCGCGUGAAGGAUGAAAUCCCUCGGG
This 409-nucleotide ribosomal RNA is filed under the name uncultured bacterium. Its description in RNAcentral is "bacterial SSU rRNA". It matches the Rfam family "Bacterial small subunit ribosomal RNA", at positions 32 to 422 of the family's 1533-position model. The record is from RNAcentral.